CACUCCUGCGGGAGGCAGCAGUGGGGAAUUUUGGACAAUGGGCGAAAGCCUGAUCCAGCAAUGCCGCGUGAGUGAAGAAGGCCUUCGGGUUGUAAAGCUCUUUUGUCAGGGAAGAAACGGUGAAAGCUAAUAUCUUUUGCUAAUGACGGUACCUGAAGAAUAAGCACCGGCUAACUACGUGCCAGCAGCCGCGGUAAUACGUAGGGUGCAAGCGUUAAUCGGAAUUACUGGGCGUAAAGCGUGCGCAGGCGGUUUUGUAAGUCUGAUGUGAAAUCCCCGGGCUCAACCUGGGAAUUGCAUUGGAGACUGCAAGGCUAGAAUCUGGCAGAGGGGGGUAGAAUUCCACGUGUAGCAGUGAAAUGCGUAGAUAUGUGGAGGAACACCGAUGGCGAAGGCAGCCCCCUGGGUCAAGAUUGACGCUCAUGCACGAAAGCGUGGGGAGCAAACAGGAUUAGAAACCCCGGUAGUCCCAUGAU
This 476-nucleotide ribosomal RNA is filed under the name uncultured organism. RNAcentral's name for it is "partial 16S ribosomal RNA". It matches the Rfam family "Bacterial small subunit ribosomal RNA", at positions 334 to 801 of the family's 1533-position model. The record is from RNAcentral.